AGAGAGAGUAAGCCAGCAGCCAAAAAAGCCAUCCAAACGAGAGCGUCUCUCUCUUUAAAGCCCUCCCUCUAAUUGUGGUUCUCUCUCUCUAUCUCUCUAUUUUGUGCGUUUUCUUUUAUCGUGCGCUUCUCACACAAUCUCAUCCUCUCGUAGAUUCGUCGCCUUCUGGAUCUCCCAACUGCUGCAAUCAUGAGUGAUGAGGGAGAAAAGACUUGUCCUCUCUGUGCUGAAGAGAUGGACUAUACUGAUCAACAGCUGAAGCCAUGCAAAUGUGGUUAUGAGAUAUGCGUUUGGUGUUGGCAUCAUAUAAUGGACAUGGCUGAGAAGGAAGAUACAGAGGGGCGUUGUCCUGCAUGUCGUACGGCUUAUGACAAGGAAAAGAUAGUAGGGACGGCUGCAAAUUGUGAAAGAUUGGUGGCUGAAAUCAAUAUGGAGAGAAAAGCUAAGUCACAAAAGUCUAAGGGAAAAACAUCAGAAGGACGGAAACAGCUUAGUAGCGUGCGCGUUAUUCAAAGAAACCUUGUCUACAUAGUUGGGUUGCCUCUUAAUCUGGCAGAUGAAGAACUUCUCCAGCGUAGAGAAUAUUUUGGUCAAUAUGGGAAGGUUCUCAAAGUUUCUAUGUCUCGGACAGCAGCUGGUGUCAUCCAGCAGUUUCCGAACAAUACAUGUAGUGUAUAUAUUACAUACUCAAAAGAGGAGGAAGCUAUUCGUUGCAUUCAAAAUGUACAUGGAUUUGUUUUGGAGGGUCGAUCUUUGAGGGCGUGCUUUGGAACCACAAAGUAUUGUCAUGCAUGGCUGAGGAAUGUGCCUUGCACUAAUCCUGAUUGUCUGUAUUUGCAUGAGAUUGGUUCUCAAGAGGAUAGUUUCACCAAAGAUGAAAUUAUAUCAGCAUACACAAGGAGUAGAGUUCAACAAAUUACUGGUGCUGCAAACAAUGUACAACGGCGUUCAGGGAAUGUGUUGCCACCUCCUGUAGAUGAUUCUUGGAACAGCAGUUCUGGUUCCUCUGGAAAGCCUAUUGUGAAGAAUGGUUCUACUAAUUCUGGAAGUAUUAUUAAAGGUUCUCCUCCAAAUGGAGGCUCUGGUAGAUCUAUAGCUCUUCCAGCAGCGGCCUCAUGGGGAACACGUGGUUCAAAUUGCCAACCACCAGUUGCUAAUUUUACAUGUUCAAAUGGACCUUCUAAACAGAAACCUGACACUGUUAGUAGUCCAUUGGCAUUUUCAUCAGCAGUUGCAGGCACUACUCAGGCGUCUCUAUUGGAUAGUGAUGGAGGGAAGACGCAGUCAUUGAUUGAAGCAAGUCAGUAUGUGCAUGCUAAAGUUAAUCAAGAAUCAGUGAAGCCUGUGAGAGAGCUUAGUUUGGAUUGUCAAACAAAUUUGUCUGAAAAACCUGCUUCACUUGAUGGUGCUUCUGCUGCCAUAAAUUUGAGCAACCAGUUUUCAUGUUCACCAGUAUCGAAGGAUGAUGAUAGAGGCAUUAAUAUGGCUGCAAACAUUUCAAAUGCCACUGACCUAGAUGGGCAGUCUUGUACUUCUGUUCAUGAAAUAGAACAGAUAGUUACUACUGAUGAUCGGGUCCAGAAAUUAUGCUCUCAAGUUUCUUCGUUGAGCAUUGAUAGAAAUGGGAUGGAUGACCAUUCUGGAAUAACAAGGUUGAGUAAUUCAAUUUCUGAUAAUGCCCUUAUCAAAUCAUCACAGAAUCAAGAUUUGCAGCAAUAUUAUGCUGAUCAAUCUAGAGAACCUUCAUCAAUUACUCAGAAAACUGCUACAUCAACUAAUGGGGUUUACAUUUCAAGAGAUAAAUGUGAAUGGUUAUCAGAUUCACAAACACAAGCGGUGCCAAAUAUAUUUCCCGAGUUGGAAGAGGAUAUAAUAUCCUUUGAUAAUCAACGACUUAAAGAUCCUGAAGUUGUGAGUCAUAGUACUUAUUUGCCUAAUUCAGUUAAUGUACUCCAUAGUUCCAAUCACUUUAGGUCUCCUUCGCAGCAACGCGAGUCGUAUGGUGUAGCUAAUAUGAGUGCUGAUCAUCUAUACACGGAUAGCAAAGUUAGGGAUGGUUCAAUUCUAUCUGGCUCUAGUGUUUCAGCUACACCUAAUGGCUACCUUCGGAACUUGGCGGCUAGUUCUGCUUGUUCAGACCGAGCCUUAGAGAAUACCUUAAUGCAUCCAGAUGAGGGUUCUGGGAAAAACAUUGGAAGAUUCCUGGGUGAUGCAGCUGAUGUUGAAAUUGAUGCUGUUGUAGAUAAAAAAGGAGAAAGCAGCAUAAUCUCUAAUAUAUUAUCAUUGGAUUUUGAUUCCUGGGAUGAAUCGUUGACUUCACCUCAGAAUUUGGCUAAAUUGCUGGGUGAUAAUGAUAAGCAAACUGGAUCCCAUAAAAUUUCUAGUUCUUGGAAACCGCAAACUAAUAGUCAGUCCAGGUUCUCUUUUGCAAGGCAAGAGGAAUCUAUAAAUCAAGUAUUUGAUGUACAGCCAUCUCUUAAUGCCUUCAGUCAAUUGUCAAACAACCAUCCUUUCAGCCGUGAUUUGGCUGAAAACAGAGAUUUAUAUUCUGAUAAGCUUGGGAUCGGUAAUGGUUUCUUAUCCAGUAACUUUGAAGAAUCUGAAAUCCAUGCCAGUAAUCACUCAGCUUUCUCUUCUUCUAAGCUUUCUGCAGUUUCGAGAGCUCAAAUUUCAGCUCCACCUGGAUUUUCGGUGCCAAGCCGGGCACCACCCCCAGGAUUUGCAUCUCAUGAGAGGGUUGACCAGGCUUUUGAUACCCUAUCUGGAAACCGAUUGCUUGAUGCUACUAUGUUGAGAAAUGCAUAUCAACCGCAGGCAACUGCAAAUGUGGUUAACACUGCUGAUAUUGAGUUUAUGGAUCCUGCAAUACUGGCAGUUGGUAAAGGGAGGCUUCAAGGUGGGCUCAACAGCCCUGCCUUAGAAAUUAGAUCAAAUUUCCCUUCUCAAUUGAGCCCCUUUGAAAAUGAUGCUAGGCUUCAACUUCUGAUGCAAAGAUCCCUUGCCUCACAACAGAACCUAAGAUUUCCUGAUUUUGGAGAUAAUUUUUCUCAUCUCAGUGAUUCUUAUGGAAUUUCUUCUAGGCUUGUUGAUCAAUCUCCAGUGAAUAGUCUAUCUCCCUUUGCACAAAUGUCCCUCCAACAGUCUAGAAAUGGGAUGAUGUCAAAUGGCCACUGGGAUGGGUGGAAUGAGGUUCAAGGUGGGAGCACUUUGGGUAUGGCAGAGCUCAUGAGGAAUGAGAGACUGGGAUUCAACAAGUUCUAUGCUGGUUAUGAAGAUUCAAAGUUUCGGAUGCCCAGUUCAGGCGAUCUAUACAACAGAAACUUUGGGAUGUAAUUCAUGUAAUUUCAUUGGUUGGCAGUGAUGAAGGGAGAAAUCAAAGGGGUAUGUGUGGUUUUGUGACCUUGUACACAAGGAUGGAACUGACUCAUAACUUGUCUCUCUGGGCACAGCAUGAUGUAGGAUCGAACUCUGCAAAAAUAUGGUGUUUGGAAGCCUGCAGGUAAGGACGACUCUUAUUUAGUUUUUGGAUCUGGAUAGAUGUGAUGGCAACGGUUGGUUUUUAUGAGAGGCAUGAAUCAAAUUACUACAAGCACAGAUUAAUGGCUUGGAGAUUGCAUCUUUUGUGUACCAUAAGCAUUUUGAAGAAGAGAAUAGGGACUGAAGUUGAUGAGGUGAAGCUGUGAUCUAAAGGUGUGAUAUGAAAGAAUGUGUUGUGGAUUGCUGUAUAUCAUCUAACUUAGAGGCUGAUAAUCAAGAUGUCAAAUAUUAGCUCCUUGUUACAGAAGUUACUAAAAUCUGGUUGUUCUCACAACUAAAUAGAUGAAAUCUGACCCCUCUACUUUUUGUAGUUUUAUACUUACCUACCUCCAUAAUUUUGCCAGACAAGAGGUUGCUCUUAACUUGCUUUCUACCGGAUUUUUUUCUUAUACUGCUAUUAUCAUCUGGGAUGUCUCUCUUAUCGCUAAGCAUAUGCUUUAUAACGAGGAGCUCUCACCCCAGUUUGGUUUAUGAAAAAUGUGAUUACUAA
RNA transcript from Ziziphus jujuba (common jujube), 4027 nucleotides. RefSeq lists it as uncharacterized. NCBI's taxonomy places the organism in Eukaryota, Viridiplantae, Streptophyta, Magnoliopsida, Rosales, Rhamnaceae. The record is from RefSeq and is a predicted model, not a curated record. The transcript has 14 exons.